AGAGUUUGAUCCUGGCUCAGGAUGAACGCUAGCGGCAGGCUUAACACAUGCAAGUCGAGGGGCAGCGGGGAGGAAGCUUGCUUUCUCCGCCGGCGACCGGCGCACGGGUGAGUAACACGUAUGCAACCUGCCCCUGUCAGGGGGACAACCCGCCGAAAGGCGGGCUAAACCCGCGUACAUGCCACCGGGGCAUCCCGGAGGCAGGAAAGGCUUCGGCCGGACAGGGAUGGGCAUGCGGCGCAUUAGGCAGUAGGCGGGGUAACGGCCCACCUAACCGACGAUGCGUAGGGGUUCUGAGAGGAAGGUCCCCCACACUGGUACUGAGACACGGACCAGACUCCUACGGGAGGCAGCAGUGAGGAAUAUUGGUCAAUGGUCGGGAGACUGAACAAGCCAAGCCGCGUGAGGGAGGAAGGUACAGAGUAUCGUAAACCUCUUUUGUCAGGGAACAAAGGCGGGGACGUGUCCCCGGAUGAGUGUACCUGAAGAAAAAGCAUCGGCUAACUCCGUGCCAGCAGCCGCGGUAAUACGGAGGAUGCGAGCGUUAUCCGGAUUUAUUGGGUUUAAAGGGUGCGCAGGCGGUCUGUUAAGUCAGCGGUCAAAGCCCGGGGCUCAACCCCGGCCCGCCGUUGAAACUGGCAGUCUCGAGUUGGAGAGAAGUAUGCGGAAUGCGCGGUGUAGCGGUGAAAUGCAUAGAUAUCGCGCAGAACUCCGAUUGCGAAGGCAGCAUGCCGGCUCCACACUGACGCUGAGGCACGAAAGCGUGGGUAUCGAACAGGAUUAGAUACCCUGGUAGUCCACGCAGUAAACGAUGAAUGCUGGCUGUCCGGGGGGAUUGACCCCUGGGUGGCGAAGCGAAAGCGAUAAGCAUUCCACCUGGGGAGUACGCCGGCAACGGUGAAACUCAAAGGAAUUGACGGGGGCCCGCACAAGCGGAGGAACAUGUGGUUUAAUUCGAUGAUACGCGAGGAACCUUACCCGGGCUCAAACGGGGAGUGACUCAGGCAGAGACGCCUGUUUCCCACGGGACACUCCCCGAGGUGCUGCAUGGUUGUCGUCAGCUCGUGCCGUGAGGUGUCGGCUUAAGUGCCAUAACGAGCGCAACCCCCGCGUGCAGUUGCUAACAGAUAACGCUGAGGACUCUGCACGGACUGCCGGCGCAAGCCGCGAGGAAGGCGGGGAUGACGUCAAAUCAGCACGGCCCUUACGUCCGGGGCGACACACGUGUUACAAUGGCAGGUACAGCGGGAAGCCACCUGGCGACAGGGAGCGGAACCCGAAAGCCUGUCUCAGUUCGGAUUGGAGUCUGCAACCCGACUCCAUGAAGCUGGAUUCGCUAGUAAUCGCGCAUCAGCCACGGCGCGGUGAAUACGUUCCCGGGCCUUGCACACACCGCCCGUCA
RNAcentral lists this ribosomal RNA (1402 nucleotides) under uncultured bacterium. RNAcentral describes it as "16S ribosomal RNA". It matches the Rfam family "Bacterial small subunit ribosomal RNA". The record is from RNAcentral.